UCGGCAACCGUUCGAUCCUCCCAUCCCCACCUCCCGCCGUCGGAUUACAAUACUCGUGAUCCCGAUCAACACCCUUUGGCAAAGCCAUGCCCCACAUCAAGUCGUUGGCGACCAGCGGCAAUAUCCGGUCGUUGAUCAACCUCGUCUCGGAUUCAGUCCUAUGGACCCCGCCGAAAUAAGGCUGGUUUAGAAUCAGCCCUCGGAUCUUCAUCGGCAAGAGAUCAUCACCCGAGACGCGUAAACCCGCGUGGUAGGCGAUGUUAGCUCCGGCGCUGCUGCCCAUUAGGAAGGACCUGGAGAAGUCAACGGCGUCUUUCAACCAGGGAUCGCAGCCGUCGACGUCGGAGGCCUGGCGGUGGACCCAGGUGAUGGUGUCGACGGCGUCAUCGUAGGCUGAAGGAAGAGGAUGUUCGGGAGCCAAGCGGUACUCGACGGAGACAAUUAGGGCUUGGAGAGCCAGGGCCAUGCGAGAGCAGGAGUCGUGGAAUGGUUUGGAGGCGGCGGAGAAGAGGACGAAGCCGCCUCCGUGGAAGUAGAUGAUGAGAGGGAGGCGGGGGUUUGGGGGGAGAGGGUGGGGUUUGAAGAGCCUGAAGAAGGUUUUUGUUUCUGGGUUUAAGGGAAUGUCCUUGGAGAGGACGAGUUGGGGAGAGUUGGAGUCUGACUCGGCGGCCGUGGCGGAAAUGGACUCGGUGGGGGUGGGAGUUGGGGAGACGGUGGGGAAAGGGGUGAAGCGGGUGAGGGAGCCAUCAGGGUUGGGGAGGAUUUUGAGGAGUUUGUAGGGGUCAAUGGAGGUUGGGGAUGAAGAAGGUUGAUACGCCAUGGAUGUUGUUGAAACUCGCAGAUGAAGCGUUUGUGCAAAUGCUUAGCUGAAAGAAGAGGGUUUAUAAGUUUAUAUGUGGAAGACAAUGAGUGACGAGUGACGAGGUAAUAGUGGGAAAAAUGGUUAGGUGUUUGGUGAAGAAAAUUAAAGUGAAGACUUGGGGACUACCUGUUUUAGUUGCAUGCUAUUGAAUUCUCGACCUAAAAGUGAACUGAUUAAUUGAUUGGGAUUCAGUUGGGUUUGCACGCGGGUGGGGAUAUGUGUGUUAACAUCCAAAUUUCACAAGUAAGGAGUGAGGUGCUUAAAAAAAAAAAGCACCCAUAAAAAAAAAGUUGUGAAAGUUUUAGGUGUUUGGUAAACUGAAAAAAAAAAUACUUAUUUUGGAAGCUGCUGUGAGAAUAAGCUGAAAUCAAAGGAAAAAGCUGAAGCUGUUAUUUGUAGUUUUGGAAAACUGGCUUUUUUUCAAAGCACACGGAGCUACAAUGCUCCUUUAAUGAAAAGACUCACUAUCAGACUGCUUUUUUUUUCCAAAAGCACUUUUACAAAAAAGUUUACCAAACACUCUGCUGAUUUAUUUCACAGCCGCUUAUUCUCACAGCACAGCCGCUUAUUCUCACAACAGUUUUUUUUUAAAGCACAGCAAUACCAAACCAGCCCUUAGUAUUACGAUCUCGUGAUAUUUCUCUUUAUUUUUAAAUAAAAAAUUUUAGGUUCGAUUAUCGCAAAAAACAAAUUUGAACCAUAUUAUUACUAGUCCGUUGUGAAACUUAAUUCACCCACUCCUUAGUGUAGGUAUAUCGUUCGUUCGAAAAAAAAAAAAAAAAAAGAUCCCACAAAGGUUAACAUGCGGCUUGUAAUCAGUAUCGGAAGGAGAGGGGGGAGUGGGGUAGGGUGGAAUGAGAAGCUUCACCCACUCUUCUUAGUGUACAUAUAUUGUUUGUUCGAGAUAAAAAAAAACAGAUCUCACAAAGAUUAACAUGCGGCUUGUAAUCAGUAGCGGAAGGAGAACAUGACCCCAACAACUUUAUAUUAUUACUCCACACAAUUUUGCUAUUAAUCCCCAUAUACCCCAAUAAGAAUUUCCAAUAAUUAGGUUCAGUUUAAGUUUAUGUCUGCAUGCCUUUGAUUUCUGUCAUUUAUCAAAACACACAUUUUUUUUUUGAAAGAUAUCAAAACACUAUUAAUCAAUAAUAUUUCGUAGUGAGUUCAAUCAAUUUGAUUUUCAAAUUAUUAUCAUAGUUUAAUGAUUGAAUUAUUAUUUAAACGUUGAUUAAUGUGCUUAUUUUCUAUUGGUGGCAGAUCAUUUGAUUUUCAAAUUUGUUAUAAUGAAAGUAAGACAAAAUACAUGGAAAAGAAACGGUCGACUUAGUCUUUUAAAAAAAAAAAUUUAUUAUCAUAGUGUUUGGCCCCAAAAUAUUAUUUUGGGCUGAGCCUGGGAUUAUUCUCGGCCCAGUAGAGUUUAUCUAGAAUUUUCUUGUGGGCCGUCCAGUUAAGGUCGGCCAAAUCUUGUUGCGAGGAGGAUUAGUUUAGAUAAGGGUGAAGUAGUCGACUCCUAGUGCAGCAACGAGUCUUAAAGCUAAUCAGGAGAUGAAUCUGAUUUGUUAUGGAGUUUGGUUCAAAGUCAUAUUGGAGCUAGGACUGGCCGAAACCUAAUUAGAUAGGGUUGAGGAGUUCUAAUCCGAGUACAUUUCUAGUUCAGUUACGAGGGGGUUUUGCUGCUAUAAAUAGAGAAAGAAGUGCAUCAUUCAAAACCCUCUCCAAUUCAACACAUAAAAUUGCCCUGCACAAAGUUUCUCAACAACCUUGAGAUUUUAUCUUCUUCCCCUUUCUUCCUGCCAACACAUCUUCAGUUUGGAUAAACAACACUGUGAAGGUAACCGGCGACAUCUUUAGUUUGGAUAAACAACACUGGAGUCAUAGAAUCAACCGAUAAAGGAGCACCUUCAUAUUGGUUAGACAUCACUGCUUUAAGGCCGACUGGUUAUUAUCCAAGUCUCGGUUGACAAGGAUUCUUAAGUCCUUGAUGGUAGAGGUCAUCUAUUAGGCUUGGCACAUUGAACGCCAAGUUUGUUUUAUGAUUGGGUACUCACAGGUACAUUUUAGAGUUCGGCAUUCUGACGACCGAACCACGUUUACCAUCAAGACAUUUAUCUCAUUCGAGUAUUUGUGUCUGUAUAGUCUGGUGCCAGUUCAGCGUGUUUAUACUCUUACAAAUAUAAUCACCAUAAUCGAACCCAGCGUCGACGAUCCGUGAACUUCGUAAGACUAGCAGCCUUAUCUUCAAGCUCUAGAACUCAAAGGCCGAGACGUGUUCCUUUCUCGACUGCAAUCGCAAGAUCGAGAAGUCAGGAGUGCUCUCAAUUUAACAUCAGCAUAUUUUACUCUCCGGUCGAGCUCGGUCGUCGAGUUGGCAUGCCCCGCACAUAACUGAAAGACGUAAUUAGCUCAUUAGUUACUCGGCCUGCGCGCCACGUAGGCUUGGUAGUUUUUAGGGUCAACACAUAAGAAGAGCAGAAUUUUGAACCCAUAAAACAUAGGCGUAAACCCUACACCCUAGCCACUAGGAUAUUAGACCAUAUGCACAAUCGACUCAGUCCCACAUCAAAUGAAGUCCACCGAGGUCAAGCUUCUUAAAAGUUAACUCUGAUGGGUCUAUAGUUGGUGAAAAGACUAUUGCAAAGGUUUGUUAUCAGGGUUUCUUUUCAAUCAAUCUCUUGGAAACAUAUCUUUGGAGAGACCAAUUUCCUUGCAGAUUUUGUCACUAGUGUGGGACUCAAUAUUAGUGAUACUUAUAUACGAGAUCAUACCUCCCUACAAAUGCUAGGCAUGCUCUUAUAUUUGAUCUUUUUGGAACUGGUUGUACUCAACAAUUUUCUGAAGAAAAGAUGCACGGGCCACUAUUUCUCUUAUAUACGCUACGCUAUUUGAAGAUAAUGAUUUGAAUGCCUAUCCCCUACCUAUGCACUUUCCUUUACUACCUUGAAGUGGAUCUCCUAUCUAUAUUCGACAGCUUGAAGAGGGAAGAAGAAGUAAAGCGAAUGCUCGUUCUGUUGGAACUCUCGAUCUGAUCUUGAAACAGGGGAAGGGAGAUCGAUCUCAAUCUCUCGAAUCCUUCUCUCCUUCCCAACGUUAUUUGUCCAAGGGGAAAAGGCUUGCAAACAGUAUUUUUUUGAAAAAAAAAACACUAUGUUUCUUCCUUUGUUACUAUAAUGAAAAUUAUAGUUUGUCAACCAAAACGUAAUUAUAAUUUUAAUUUUGCACGUUAGCGGAAUACAUGUGGCAUGAAAAAAAGUUAGACUGUUAAAAUGAGAAUGUAACUGAGGAUUGAAAGCACUUUAUAGAAAGAAAAUGAAUGAUUAUGCGAUAUUUACUCGUUGCUAGGCCCGAAUUAAACUAGCAUAAUUUCUCCUUUAAAGAAUUGGGCCUCCAUCCUCCCCAGUCUAUGGUACCCCAACUCAAUAAGAAAACAUUAAGAUGUGUUGGACCAAGGUGAUGAAACCCAAAGAUGCCAACCACCAACCAUACGUCUAAUAACGAAGGAAGCUUAAAACAUCUUACAACAUCAUUACUAUUUAAGUCCCCCAAAAUAGGGAUCAUUCAGUAUUAAGGUCUAAUGGUAUUUCUCUUCAUUUGUAAGUGAAAGGUCUUACGUUCGAACCUCGUAAAUGACAAAUUCGAUACCAAAUUAUGUUACCCAUUACGUGGCUUAGCCAAUCUCCUCCCUACCAUAGUGUAAAAUAUAUUGUUGUACUUAUAAAAACAAAAAAGGCCCCCAAAACAGAGAUUUUCGUAUAUGUUAUACACCAAGAUUUUUGUGUAAUUAAAUUAUUGGUCAAAGAUCAAUACUUAAAGAUCCAAUGCUUAGGAUCUAAUGUUAAAAAGACCCAUAGUGUAUUUUUACUCACACCUCUAAAGUAAGGGUUAUGCUCACUCCAUUUUGCUGUUAGAUUAGUUUAAAUUUCAAGAUUCAUGUCCCAAAUCAAUUAAAACAAACUAAUCUAACGGCAAUCCAUGAAGUGUGUUGAUGCACAAAAUCAGUGAUGACUUUGGAACAAUGUAAAGUGUCAAGUUUGUGACCUUCGCUCAGUUGCUCCGGUCACCUAGUAAGGAUAAUAUGUAAAGAGAUAGCGAAAGGGAAGCAAACACAAGAUGUACGUGGUUCACCAUAAAUUUGACUACAUCCAUGAAGUAGAGGAGUUCUCAUUAAUAGUGAAGGGUUUACACAAAUACAUAUGUUCAAGCAUAAUCAUCAUUAGUGAGCUCUAACGACUAGUUUAAGUACAAUAUUGACAUUAGAGAUUCAUUGUAGGAGAAUUGUUUUCUUUUAUAGUUCAGGAGAGUCUUCAACUUUUGUCCGCAGUCGAUGUGGGACUCGAUGAGCUUUAUUCUGAUGUUGACAUGUGUCAUGCUGUGAUUGACCUCCUGGUUGGAGGGAAACUCUUGUGCUUCGGCCGGGGUGCCUCAGUGGAUCCUUGAAACUAUGAAGUAGAUCGAUGCUUGGUAAUUUCGGGAUUGGUCAAGUAUGGUACAAACAGUGGUCCCCUAAGUUCUCGUGUGAGGAAAGCUUUUUGGUUGGGGACUUGAAAAAUCCAAGUCACUAAGUAAUCACGAAACUUCUGAGUACCGAAGUGUAGUAGCAUAUAGUGGGAGUCCCCCAAGUAUCCAAGUGAAGAGGAUAAUCGAAGGAGGUGGCUUGAUAUUCUUGAGUCAUUAGAAAAAAGACUUCAAAAAUUCUAUCCUCAUUUUUUUUUUUAUGAACUUAGCUCAAGUAUAUAUAUUUUUUCUUAAGCCCAAUUCCUUCUUUCUUUUGGUGAGAAAAGAAAAUGUGGUUGAAACCUUUUCCUUUGUGUACAUACCUUGAAUGGUUGAAGUUUUUGCCUUUGGGCACAUAGCUUGAGUGGUUGAAGCUUUGUAGGUGAAACUUUUUUGUUGAAACUUUGUAGGUGAAGCUUUUUCCUUUGGGCACAUAGAUUAAGUGGUUGAAACUUUGUAGGUGAAGCUUUUUGGUUGAACUUUGUGGGUGAAGCUUUGUAGGUGAAUUUUUUUGGUUGAAGCUCUAUAGGUGAAGCCUUUUGGUUGAAGCUUUGUAGGUGAAGCUUUUUGGUUGAAGCUUUGUAGGUGAAACUUUUUGGUUGAGGCUUUGUAGGUGAAACUUUUUGGUUAAAGCUUUUUUUAACCACAUAAAAAGAUUUUGCUUCCACAUUCUUUAGCAAAAGUGUGGAAGGCUUUUUGAAUUUUUUGUUGAAGCUUUCGGUUGAAGAUUUUGGUUGAAGCUUUUUUGAACCACAUAAAUAAAUUUUGCUUCCACACUCUUGAGCAAAAGUGUGGAAGGCUUUUUGAAUUUUUUGUAGUUAGGCAAAGUGUGAAGCUUCCUCCCUUCAAGGUGUGGGAGGCUUCUUCCCUCAAAGUGUGUGAAGGCUUUUUCCCUUUAAGGGUGUGGGAAGCUCUCUCCCUUGGAUGUGGGUAGCUCUUUCCCUUCAAGGGUGUAGGUAGCUAUCUCCCUUCAAGGGUGUGGGUAGCUAUUUCCCUUAGGUGUGAAAAGCUCUCUCCUUUCAAGGGUGUGGGAAGCUCCCUCCCUUCAAAGUGUGGUAAGCUCUACCCUUCAAAGUUGUGGGAACCUUCCUCCCUUCGACGUGUGGGAAACUUCCUUUCCUUCGAAGUAUGGGAAGCUCCCUCCCUUCAAAGGUGUGGGAAGCUUCCUCCCUUCAAAGUGUGGAAAGCUUCCUUCCCUUAAAGUGUGGGAAGCUCCUCCCUUCAAGGGUGUGGGAAGCUCUACCCUUCAAAAUGUGAGAAGCAUUUUAUAAGACUCCAUAAAUUGAUUUUGCUUCUACACUCUUGAGCAAGAAGGCUGAUGAGAUGACCUCUACCAACAAGAACUCGAAAAUCCUUGUUGACCGAGACUUGGAUAAAUAACUAGUCGGUCUUGAAGCAGUGUUGUUUAUCCAAACUGAAUGUGCUCCUUGGUCAUUUGAUUCUACAACUCCAAUGUUGUUUAUCCAAACUGAAGUUGUCACCGGUUGCCUUCACAAUGUUGUUUAUCCAAACUGGAGAUGUGUUGGCGAAAAAAAAAUAAAAAAUAAAAAUCUCAAGGUGUUUGAGAGGUUUACGUAGGGCAAUUGUGUGUUGAAUUGGAUGAGUUGUCCUCAUUGCAGAUUGUCCUAUAUUUAUAAGGGUGAACUUUCACGAUGACCAGAUAACCAAGUUACAGAGUUCUCUGCAAACCAUACCUUGUGAAAUAAUAAUCAUGAACUACCACGCAUUAUCCUUUGAAUUUUGGUGAUAUCGUAAUGUUAAUCAUUGAGAUGCAUUGGACCUUUUAAUCUUCAUUGUACAUCACCAUCUUAAUGUUUCAAACGGACAAAAAUGGCAUAUUCAUAUGCUAAUCAUCCAAAGUUGCAUCCUUGUACCAUUGUUCCACGUGGUUCUGGAUGCAAACCCAUUCAAAUAUGGAAUCCAUGCAACUGACUAGAUACAUUUUGAUUAGGAUAGAAUCCUAAAGCUACACGGAAAGCCCUCACAUAACUCUUCUUACUGCCGUGUUGAUUGUAAGGGGUUGGCAAGUAGCCAGCUAUGCAAUCUCUUUUAAUUUCUCCACAACCCGAUAAAACCUUUGAUUAUCUGCAAAAGGAUCCCACGCAUAACUCUGUAAGCUUUAAUGAUAUUUUCAAGAUAAUUAUUAUGAUUAAAAUCAAUAGUAAUGCCAAGAAAAAUCUCUUAAUUUUCAUAGUCAUCCGACGACCACAAUUGCUUGGGCCGAAAAUGCAAAAUCGGGUCCAAACAACCAUAUAAGACGAUUUUGCUUCCAAACUCUUGAGCAAGAGUGUAGAAGACAAUCUACAUGUUGUAGUUGUUGAAGGGUUGUUGAACCAUAUAAUACGAUUUUUCCUCCACACUCUUGAGCAAGAAUGUGGAAGGCUUUGUUGAGUUUGUAUAUGCCUUUUCCGAAUUCUAAGGCUUGAAAUUUUUCAACUGCUUAUGAAUGUUAAGAAUCCACAGGUGCAUGUUGUACUAUUCUUCCCUAGUUGAUGAAAAGAAGGUAAGUUCUUUCAUCACUUGGUUGGUGAGAAGAGUGGUGAGUUGUUGAGGCAAAAAUGUUUAAUAAAGUACUAGUUGUAUCUUCCACCACUUGGUUGGUGAUAAGAAGGUGAGUUCCUUGAUCACCUAGUUGGUAAGAAGAGUGGCAAGUUGCUGAAUCUCAAUAUUGUUUAUUAGAGUACUGGUUGUGCCCUUCAUCACCUGGUUGGUGAUAUGAAGGUGAGUUCCUUCAUCAUCUGGUUGGUAAGAAGAGUGGCAAGUUGCCAAAACUUAAAAUUGUUUCUUAGAGUAUUGGUUGUACUCUUCAUCACCUGGUUGGUGAAACAAAGAUGAGUGCUUCAUCACCUGGUUGGUGGAAAGAACGGCGAGUUACCAAGGUACAUUGUAGCACGUGCCAAAAGAAAAAAAGUGUAUGUUAACACCCUUUCGUAAUUAUGUAUGAAUGUUUUGGAGGGUAUGAAGUUUAUGUUGAUUGACAUAAGUAAUACUUAUGACAUGAGUGAUGUUCAUGACAUGCAUGUUGUUUAUGAAUGUUUUGCUGUGCAUGAAGGAAUCCAUUGUUUGGAUAUGUGAACCGUGUUGGUUAUACCACUUAGUUUCACUUACUUGGUGUUGAAGUACGUAUGUUGAUGCUUUAAGUUAAAGUAUAGAGGUAGGUUAGAGUUAGACCUAGUGUCCAGUGUUAGGAAUGCAAAAGACUUAGACGAAGUUGUCUGAAUUGCCUCUUCAUUAAAUAUUUUCCAAAUGGCUUGUGUUACAAAGGAUGUCAAACGGUUGAAGGUUGAAACAUUUGUUAUGCGUAUGCCUUUCUAUAAUAGCAUUUUCUUCAGUAUCCAGUCCUCCACUUUGAAAAAACGAUGUUUGACCCCAUGGUCAUAACAGUUGAAGGUACGUUCACCCCUGAUUGUCUUGAAACGAACCUUUAUUCCUCUUGUUGUAAUAAGCUUGUUGAGAGUAAAAAUUCUUCCUUUUGCCAAAAGGCAAAUAAGCCUGGUCACCUGGCAGGUUGCUAAGUGGGGCAGGAGGGGAUGCAAUGAGUGUUUGGAUGGCCAAAACCUUCUCACUUGGUAGAACUUGACAUUUACUCCCUACUUGUUGAUAGGGGUUUACCUUAUGAGGGUUCCCUUGGUAUGUCCUUGCCUCAGCAAAUGCAUGAUUGUAAGCUUGCGUCAUCACCUCAAAGUAAGUCUUCCAAGUGUUAGCAUUGAUCAUCUAAUUGAAGUAGAAUUCACGCAUGCCUACUGUGAAGGCCCUGAAUGUUGUUUUGUCAUCUGCCUCAGCACAACGACAGUACUCGUGGUUAAAGCGACCGACAUAUUCUCGCAAUGACUUGUUUGAUUUUUUACGAAUAGUGUAUAACUCAUUAGCAAAGUGUAAACGAUCAGCUUGGAAGAUAUGUUGAGCCACAAAGAGUCUCCUUAGCUCAGCAAAAGAAUCUAUCGUAUCAGGUUGAAGACCACAAUACCAAUUAAGAGUUCCACCAGAGAGAAUGGAGGGAAAAAUGAGAUAUCGUUCCUCAUCACUAUAUCUUCGAUAUGUUAUGGUGGAUUCAAAGAGGUGGAUAUGUUCAAUUGGAUUUUCUCUCUCUGAAUAAGAUUGCAAGCCAAGCUUCUAUUUUAUUUCUCCUCGUAGAAAAGUGCAAAGGAUCAUUUUUAUCAGAUGGCUUAGCCUUGGCUGAUUCCAGUCAGGUAUCCUAGCGUGACGUUCAGCCUUCAACUUGUUCACUUCCUCAAUGAGCUGCAAGAUAAGGGGGUCCUAAGUGGAGUCGGACAUCAUUAAUGAUUUCUUUUGUAGGUUUCCAUCAUUUCUUGAAAGUAGGGAAGAUCAGUCAAGGACAUCUGGCAUUUCCUUGGACUCAAUAUAUUGGCUAUUCUAAUGUGCUUAUUGAAAGUCCCCUGAGUCUCAUACGCCCUUUUGUUGCCGCAAGGCUUGUCGUUCCUUUCCUAGAUUAGGGGUUGGCCUAUGUUAUAAUAGAGGACUUAGCCCUUCAAUGACCCUUGGGUCUUUGAUCUUUGAGCCUAUAUGGAUAGAAUUUUCUCGACGCUAUCUCAAGAAGUCUCAACAGUCAAGGUAAACGGCUCUCGAUCAUUUUUUUUCUUUUGUAAAAAGAUGUCUUCCUCCAUAUAUUUUGCUUUAGUAUGAAGAAGUUGGGUUGAAAGAAGUCUCGUAUUGAUCGACAUUAUGGCGAAAAGAUCGUUCCUCAUUAAGAACGCCCAUGUUGAAGAUAUGUGAACUCUCGUGUUAGUGGGUACUCAUGUGGUGAUUCACAAUCACAGGGGUGAUAAGCUCGUAAGACUGAGUCUGUUUAGCCUCGUAGAGCAUCUCGAAGAGCUUUUAUAUUGUUCUUGGAAGAUCUCAUUUAUGAUCGCUAUCUUGUUGUUCUAAGCCUCUAGCUCUUCGACCCUGGCUUGAAGAGUAAACUUCUUUCUUUCCUUCCUUCGCCGCCUCACACUAGGAACUAGAGGAUGUUAUUCUGCGUGUUAUGGCUCCCUUCACUCCCCAUGUUGGAAAAUGAUGCCUAAUCAAAGGAGAGUGUACAAACGAUGGAAACCAGCUUGACAAAGCUGGGGAUAGUAGGAAUAAGUGUUGUUCCCACAGACGGUGCCAAAUGUUGAUGCAUAAAAUCAGUGAAGACUUUGGAACAACGUAAAGUGUUAAGUUUGUGACCUUCGCUCGGUUGCUUGGUCACCUAGUGAGGAUAAUAUGUAAAGAGAUAGAGAUAAGGAAGCAAACACAAGAUGUAUGUGGUUCACCCUAAGUUUGGCUACGUCCACGAAGUAGAUGAGUUCUCAUUAAUAGUGAAGAGUUUACAAAAAUACAUAGAUUGAAGCAUAAUCAUCAUUAGUGAGUUCUAAUGACUAGUUUUAGUACAAUAAUGAUAUUAGGGAUUCAUGUAGGAGAAUGGUCUUCUUUUAUAGUUGAUGAGAGUCUUCAGCUUUUGUCUGCGGUCGAUGUGAGACUCUAUGAGCUUUAUUCUGACGUUGACAUGUAUCGUGUUAUGAUUGGCCUUCUGGUUGGAGGAAAACUCUUGUGCUUCGACUGGGGUGCCUUAGCAUGAACCCCUCUGUGGAUCCUUAAAGGUAUAAAGUUGACCGAUGCUUGGUAGUUUCGGGAUUGGUCAAGUAUCGUACAAACAAAGUGUAUAACAGUAAAAAAUCUUAGAACUUUUGCCAAAAGCAUAGGCAAUUGACAAAAUAAAUAUAAGCCUGGAUCAUUUUUUUCCACACUGUAAUCGUGGGUACGAAAGAAGGUUCUCGCUUCUCAGUAGAAUCUGAAAUUACUCCCAUUUUCCCGAAGUCAUAGAGAUGCCAUAAAAUUGAGUUAUAUUCCUCACCGAUGCUAUCAUAGUAUCAUUACAGAAUGGAACCACAUUCUAUUCACAAGUGACAAAGACAAUGCCUUAAAAGGUUUCGCUAAUCUAAAUAACGGUUCAAAAAAUGUUCGUAUGUCAUACGCAUUUGAAUGGCACCGGUGGCAUUCUCGAGCGAUUUACCAUAAAUUAGGAUAAGGUGGAAAAUUAAUAAGUUCCUUAGAUCCAAAAUUUAGAAACCACAAAAUUAGUUUGAUGUCUAGUUUAAGCAAGAUAAGAGUACCAAGUAAUGUGUAAAUUAUGUAAUAUGUCAUCAAUAAAAAAUAAACACGUUAAUUAAUACUUAAUUAAUAAUCUAAUUAUCAACUAGCACAUAAUAUAAUUUACAAAAUAUAAUUUACAUACAUGAUCUCGUAGCAUUACCCAUAAUUUUAAUUUAAUCAUUGGAUGUGCUUUAAUGUGGCUAAAACAGUAAAACUCCUUGCAAGCAAAAGUAACAGCAACCAAAAUGGCGUUUUCUAACAAGCCAUGUCAGCUUCUUGGCCUUACUUCACGUGGCCGAUUUUGAAACGACAACAUUAUCACCGUCGUAUGUACUGCACGACUCGAUAAAAUCCCUAAGAAUGUCGUACAGAACUUGGGCCAUGCUGGGGUCGAAGAGCUCCACGCCAUGAAACCCCUCCUCGUCAAACUUGGCCACCACGUGCGCCCCACGUGACUCAAGUAACGCCACAAACUCUUUCUGCCUAUCCAUCAGCGGGUCCCCACCGUACCCUCUAACCAAACGCCUCGGCAACCGUUCGAUCCUCCCAUCCCCAACUCCCGCCGUCGGAUUACAAUACUCGUGAUCCCGAUCGACUCCCUUUGGCAAAGCCGUGGCCCACAUCAAGUCGUUAACGACCAGCUGGCAAAAUGUCCGAUCGUUGAUCAACCUCAUCUCGGAUUCAGUCCUAUGGACCCCACCGAAAAAAGGCUGGUUUAGUAUCAGCCCUCGGAUCUUCAUCGGCAAGAGAUCAUCCACCUCCGUGGAAGUAGAUGAUGAGAGGGAGGUUGGGGUUUGGAGGGUGGGGUUUGAAGAGCCUGAGGAAGGUUUUGUUUUCUGGGUUUAAGGGAGUGUCCUUGGAGAGGACGAGUUGGGGAGAGUUGGAGUCUGACUCGGCGGCGGUGGCGGGAAUGGACUCGGUGGGGGUGGGAGUUGGGGAGACGGUGGGGAAAGGGGUGAAGCGGGAAGACUGCUGCAGGGAUUGUUCCUAGGGUUUCUUUUCAGUCAAUCUCUUGGAAACAUAUCUUUUUGGAGAGGCCAUUUUCCUUGGAGAUUUUGCCGCGUAAGACUCAAUAUUAGUGAUACUUUUAUAUGGGAUCGCACUCUGUUAUGAGUGAUAGGGCUAGUUUGGUAUUGUAAGUGCUAAGGCUAGUUUGGGAUUGCACCCAUAAAUAUGUCUCAUUGCAAACCUCAUCCCUUCGCUCUUCUCACCCAUCUUUCACUCAAACUCUCCCAUCCCCAAGUUUUAAAAACCCAAACAAAUAAAUAAUGAAAUUUCAAACAAGGCAAGCUUACCAAGAGAAGGGCGCCAAGCCGGGAGAACACAUGUGGCAUGAAAAAAGCACUUUACAGAAAGAAAAUGAAUGAUCAUGCAAUAUUUACACGUUGCUGGGCCCGACUUAAACUAGCUCAGUUUCUCCUUUAAAGAGUUGGGCCUCCAUCCUCCCCAAUCUAUGGUACCCAACUCAAUAAGAAAACAUUAAGAAAUGUUGGACCAAGGCGGUAAAGUAAAAGUGAUGCUCACUCCAUCAUUGAUUGCCGUUAAAUUAGUUUAAAUCUUAAAUCAAUUACACCAAACUAAUCUAACGGCAACUAAUGGGGCGCAUAAGGGUAAAAAAAUCUAGAAUUUUCGCCAAAAACAUAGGCAAUUGACAAAAUAUAUAUAAGCCAGGAUCAUUUUUUUUCACUGUCUAAUCUGGAUAUGAAAGAAAGUUUUCACUAGUCAGUAGAAUCUGAAUUUACUCUCAUUUUCCCUUUUACAAGUCACAGAGAUGCCAUAAAAUUGGGUUGUAUUCCUCACCAAGCCGUCAUGACAGAAUGGAAUCACAUUCUAUUCACAAGUGACAAAGACAAUGCACUUAAAAGGUUUUGCUGAUCUAAGUACCAGUUCAAACAAUGUUCGUAUGUCAUACCGUAUGACUCAUACGUAUUCAAAUGGCACCGGUGACAUUCUCGAGCGAUUUACCAUGGUAAAUUAGGAUAGAAUGAAAUUUAAAAAGUUCAUUGGAUCCAAAAUUUAGAAACCACAAAAUUAGUGUGAUGUCUAGGAAUUGAAGAUUUCCAGCAUCCUAUUCAGCUCAAAAAAAAAAACACUUGCUUCAUUCCUAUGAGCAAUGCAGUUUGAUCACGUAAUGUGUAGUAGUGAUGGGGUGGCCAAAAAACACUUGCGUCAUUUCUCAAAAUAGUACAAAGCACAGCCGAAACACAAGUCUACAAGCAAGUCUCUCUCGUACAUUCCACCACCACAAAAAGCACUAGGCUUCUCAUACAACACUAACAACAGUAAGAGAGAAUUUAAUUCUUCCAAACAGAAUGUGCCAUGGCAAGUGCCUUCGCCCAUGAGCGGUAGG
This 13778-nucleotide long non-coding RNA is filed under the name Malus domestica (apple). RNAcentral's name for it is "long non-coding RNA (MDOM_LNC001719)". The record is from RNAcentral. Lineage: Eukaryota; Viridiplantae; Streptophyta; Magnoliopsida; Rosales; Rosaceae.